AAUAUUGCACAAUGGGCGCAAGCGUGAUGCAGCCAUGCCGCGUGUAUGAAGAAGGCCUUCGGGUUGUAAAGUACUUUCAGUCGUGAGGAAGGCAUUAACGUUAAUAGCGUUAGCGUUUGACGUUAGCGACAGAAGAAGCACCGGCUAACUCCGUGCCAGCAGCCGCGGUAAUACGGAGGGUGCGAGCGUUAAUCGGAAUUACUGGGCGUAAAGCGCAUGCAGGUGGUUCGUUAAGUCAGAUGUGAAAGCCCGGGGCUCAACCUCGGAAUAGCAUUUGAAACUGGCGGACUAGAGUACUGUAGAGGGGGGUAGAAUUUCAGGUGUAGCGGUGAAAUGCGUAGAGAUCUGAAGGAAUACCAGUGGCGAAGGCGGCCCCCUGGACAGAUACUGACACUCAGAUGCGAAAGCGUGGGGAGCAAACAGGAUUAGAUACCCUGGUAGUCCACGCCGUA
RNAcentral lists this ribosomal RNA (452 nucleotides) under uncultured marine bacterium. RNAcentral's name for it is "bacterial SSU rRNA". It matches the Rfam family "Bacterial small subunit ribosomal RNA", at positions 360 to 804 of the family's 1533-position model. The record is from RNAcentral.